AAUAUAUUAAAAAAACUAUUAAUAUUAUAUAUUUUGUUAAUAUAUAAUAUUUAUUAAUAUUUAAUAUAUAUUA
This 73-nucleotide transfer RNA is filed under the name Leptogium hirsutum. RNAcentral describes it as "tRNA-Thr". The record is from RNAcentral. Lineage: Eukaryota; Fungi; Ascomycota; Lecanoromycetes; Peltigerales; Collemataceae.